GUGCUCACUUCGACAGCACAUACACUAAAAUUGGAAUGAUACAGAGAUUAGCAUGGUCCCUGCACAAGGAUGACACGCAAAUUCAUGAAGCAUUCCAUAUUUUU
This is a small nuclear RNA of Pongo abelii (Sumatran orangutan), 104 nucleotides long. NCBI's taxonomy places the organism in Eukaryota, Metazoa, Chordata, Mammalia, Primates, Hominidae. The record is from Ensembl.